RNAcentral lists this ribosomal RNA (484 nucleotides) under uncultured bacterium. RNAcentral's name for it is "partial 16S ribosomal RNA". It matches the Rfam family "Bacterial small subunit ribosomal RNA", at positions 30 to 507 of the family's 1533-position model. The record is from RNAcentral.
AUUGAACGCUGGCGGCAGGCCUAACACAUGCAAGUCGAGCGGAUGAAGGGAGCUUGCUCCUGGAUUCAGCGGCGGACGGGUGAGUAAUGCCUAGGAAUCUGCCUGGUAGUGGGGGAUAACGUCCGGAAACGGGCGCUAAUACCGCAUACGUCCUGAGGGAGAAAGUGGGGGAUCUUCGGACCUCACGCUAUCAGAUGAGCCUAGGUCGGAUUAGCUAGUUGGUGGGGUAAAGGCCUACCAAGGCGACGAUCCGUAACUGGUCUGAGAGGAUGAUCAGUCACACUGGAACUGAGACACGGUCCAGACUCCUACGGGAGGCAGCAGUGGGGAAUAUUGGACAAUGGGCGAAGGCCUGAUCCAGCCAUGCCGCGUGUGUGAAGAGGGUCUUCGGAUUGUAAAGCACUUUAAGUUGGGAGGAAGGGCAGUAAGUUAAUACCUUGCUGUUUUGACGUUACCAACAGAAUAAGCACCGGCUAACUUCGUG